Trifolium pratense (red clover) is the source of this 1882-nucleotide RNA transcript. It is a transcript of the gene named vacuolar cation/proton exchanger 3-like, with no coding region annotated. The transcript has 10 exons. The record is from RefSeq and is a predicted model, not a curated record. NCBI's taxonomy places the organism in Eukaryota, Viridiplantae, Streptophyta, Magnoliopsida, Fabales, Fabaceae.
CUCUUCUCUCUCAUGCGCUUUCUCACUCUCUUCUCUCUUUUCUCUCUGAUUCCGGCCGCCACCCGGCCACCGCCACCGCCACCGGAAAACCCCAAAUCAAACCCAAUUCAACUCACCCAAAAACCUCUUUCACGCAAAACUUCUUCCUCCUCUCAGAUGGGCCGAAAAUCAUCAACCCCAACCCCCAAAUUUCAAUUCCUCAAAUUUUGUUCUUUGAAAUUGUCGAUGAAAUUGGGUAUUUGGAUGUCAAUAAACUCAGGAUCUCUACAGAGAAGGAAAUUCUAUCAUGGGCUCUGAAGGUUCACAAAUUCGGGUUUGGUUUGAGAUUUUGUUGAUUUCGAAAGUUGGAUCCUUUACUGCUCGAAAAAGUCAGACAAACCGUGAAGGUGAAGGUGAAAACAUGGAGGCAGAAGAAGAUGCCCUGAUUGGAUUCUGGAGUGCAUUUGGUUGGUUGGAUGGAAUGACUGUUUUCAUUGCUUUGUUGUCUGAAUAUGUGGUGGAUACAAUUGAGGUUUUAAGAAGUGAUUGCGGUAAAGGUCGCGGUUGCGUUAUUACCUUUGCUAUUGCCGUCAUUGGAACCAAGAUCACCUUCUAUUAUUGUUUAAAUCUAAUACAGAACCCUGGAGGAAAGAAGAUGUAUAUGUAUCUUUAUGUUCAUGUGCCUGCAACAAUGAUCUCUUUGAGUUAGUUUGCGAUGACCGAACCUUCAGAGGUCGUUUACGUUUGAAACGUAGGGUACGAAAUAUCUGAGCAAACACAUCAUGAGGAUUUCAAUUUGCCUGAAGAAUCCUGCCAUGGUUUUCUUCCUGAACUGCUGCAUAUUUAGAAUGAUCAAAUGAAUCAUUGGCUUAUGUAGAGACAAAAAUAAUGUAUAGGAAAAAAAAAUCAGAGGUAGUAGAAGCAUACAAGAAAUAUGUAGCAGAUAUAAGUGAUUUGGGACUCAUCAUCAAAUCUAAAAGUAAGAAGACGUUGUUGCAUAAUGAAUCUCGGUUAGAUCUCUUAUUAGUAUUGUUAUUAUAUUAUACGCUGCAAUUGUUAUAUUAUUAGGCAGUUAAGGAAGUUGUGUUAUUUAGAUGGUUACUGAAUAAAUCGGAAAGGAGAGACCCAAUACUCUAAAAUGCACUUUCGUUUUUAUAGUGAAUGAGCAAACUAGCAUCACAGCAAGAUCUCAAGUCCAAAUAAGGUAUUGGAGUUGAGAGGAAACAUAAUGGUCUUAGAUUUUGAUUGGAUCUCCAAAGAAGACUUUGUCUUUUUAAUUUGGUUCUAUAUUGAAGUUAAAUGCUCAUUUUGAAAGAUUUUCAUUUACUUUCUUUACAACAGAUAUUUUUGAGGACACUGUACCAUUUGCAACAUUUGAAAGUAGACCAAAUUCCAAGUGUUGCAGCAUAAGCUGACAGGCGGCUAAGCAUGCACAUGCAUCAGUUGUGCAGUCACCACUAGAUGACGAUGCUUUAACACGAUGGCAGCGGGAUGUAGGCCAUGAUGAUGCAGGGCAGCAGGAUGCAGGCCAUCAAAAAGACUCACCUAAUGUUGCUGACUCCAAGUAUUCAUAUGGUGUGAUCAGCUUGAAGCAGUUGAAAGAAGUUUUGGUGCUUGCUAUGAAGCCUUAAGCAAUUUUCAAGUUGGAGAUAUGCAUUAGUUUUAUUGGAAUUUUGUCACUUUUGCCAAAGCACAGAUUGUGGUGGCUUUGCUGGUGUUGAGAAAAUGUGAGGAAUGGGAGAUGCUAUAGUUUUUUUUUUUUUUUUUUUUGCAUCAUGCUGGUGUAUUGACCAGUUUAUUGAUUUGGUUUUUAAGUUUAUUUACUCUUUCGGAUGUAUCGAUUAUACAAUGUACUUCUCUAUCCUAUUAUCAAUGAUUAUAUGAAUGAUUUUUAAUGUCAUCA